CCUACGGGCGGCUGCAGCCGCGGUAAUCCGUAGGGUGCGAGCGUUAAUCGGAAUUACUGGGCGUAAAGCGUGCGCAGGCGGUUUGCUAAGACCGAUGUGUAAUCCCCGGGCUCAACCUGGGAACUGCAUUGGUGACUGGCAGGCUAGAGUAUGGCAGAGGGGGGUAGAAUUCCACGUGUAGCAGUGAAAUGCGUAGAGAUGUGGAGGAAUACCGAUGGCGAAGGCAGCCCCCUGGGCCAAUACUGACGCUCAUGCACGAAAGCGUGGGGAGCAAACAGGAUUAGAUACCCCAGUAGUC
Molecule: ribosomal RNA, 298 nt
Filed under: uncultured Burkholderia sp.
Lineage: Bacteria; Pseudomonadati; Pseudomonadota; Betaproteobacteria; Burkholderiales; Burkholderiaceae
Description: partial 16S ribosomal RNA
Rfam family: Bacterial small subunit ribosomal RNA
Source: RNAcentral